This 539-nucleotide ribosomal RNA is filed under the name Streptomyces sp. Mz325S52L. RNAcentral describes it as "bacterial SSU rRNA". It matches the Rfam family "Bacterial small subunit ribosomal RNA", at positions 222 to 771 of the family's 1533-position model. The record is from RNAcentral. Lineage: Bacteria; Bacillati; Actinomycetota; Actinomycetes; Kitasatosporales; Streptomycetaceae.
GGGAUGAACCCGCGGCCUAUCAGCCAUGUUGGUGAGGUAGUGGCUCACCAAGGCGACGACGGGUAGCCGGCCUGAGAGGGCGACCGGCCACACUGGGACUGAGACACGGCCCAGACUCCUACGGGAGGCAGCAGUGGGGAAUAUUGCACAAUGGGCGAAAGCCUGAUGCAGCGACGCCGCGUGAGGGAUGACGGCCUUCGGGUUGUAAACCUCUUUCAGCAGGGAAGAAGCGAAAGUGACGGUACCUGCAGAAGAAGCGCCGGCUAACUACGUGCCAGCAGCCGCGGUAAUACGUAGGGCGCAAGCGUUGUCCGGAAUUAUUGGGCGUAAAGAGCUCGUAGGCGGCUUGUCACGUCGGGUGUGAAAGCCCGGGGCUUAACCCCGGGUCUGCAUUCGAUACGGGCUAGCUAGAGUGUGGUAGGGGAGAUCGGAAUUCCUGGUGUAGCGGUGAAAUGCGCAGAUAUCAGGAGGAACACCGGUGGCGAAGGCGGAUCUCUGGGCCAUUACUGACGCUGAGGAGCGAAAGCGUGGGGGAGCGA